Ornithodoros turicata is the source of this 270-nucleotide long non-coding RNA. RefSeq lists it as uncharacterized. The transcript has 3 exons. The record is from RefSeq and is a predicted model, not a curated record. NCBI's taxonomy places the organism in Eukaryota, Metazoa, Arthropoda, Arachnida, Ixodida, Argasidae.
CAAAACUCCUGUCAGGUGUGGUCGAUGGAGUCCUGUGCGUUAUUCAGAAGCUACCUCCGGCAAACACCGUACCCACAAUCCUGUGCCAGGUUUUCCACGUACUUACUCAGAUCAUCGGCUACGGGGAUAAUUUACUUCUGCAACUCCAGGGUGCGCUCAAGCCGGUGCUCGAGUUCCUUGUGAAAUGCCCUGACGAAACUUGCUGGAAAAUGGAGUGAUCACGAGGCAUCGUACUGGGACAUACAAUACAGUCCUGAUGAGCCUAAUAAA